GCAGUAGCCGCGGUAACACGAAGGGUGCAAGUGUUAAUCGGAAUUACUGGGCGUAAAGCGUGCGUAGGCGGUUUGUUAAGUCUGCUGUGAAAUCCCCGGGCUCAACCUGGGAAUGGCAGUGGAUACUGGCAAGCUAGAGUGUGUCAGAGGAUGGUGGAAUUCCCGGUGUAGCGGUGAAAUGCGUAGAGAUCGGGAGGAACAUCAGUGGCGAAGGCGGCCAUCUGGGACAACACUGACGCUGAGGCACGAAAGCGUGGGGAGCAAACAGGAUUAGAGACCCCCGUAGUCCCUGUCUCUUAUAC
RNAcentral lists this ribosomal RNA (302 nucleotides) under uncultured bacterium. RNAcentral describes it as "partial 16S ribosomal RNA". It matches the Rfam family "Bacterial small subunit ribosomal RNA", at positions 508 to 807 of the family's 1533-position model. The record is from RNAcentral.